ACACUACGUGCCGCAUCAUAUUUUUACAUUUCGAUCAUCACAAUGAUUUAAGCAAUAGCCCAUCAGCUCUUCUGGGGCAUGGCAGCCGACCUUGAGGAGCUCAAGGCAACGAUCUCCUGCCUGUUGUACUUGAGGUUCCUAGCCUGCUGACGGUCCAUCUGGUAAGCGUUGGCGAGGACCACGUCGGGGAGUGAUCGCAGGACGGAGGUCCUACCAGCCAUGGUGUUGAUCAUGGCAUUGUCUUGGGUCUUAAAGGCAAUGUACUCGUAUCCAUUGCUCAUGGCCUUUUGCAACACGGCGUGGUUUUGCGGCACGAUGAAGAGCUGUCCCUGGCGGACCUGGUCGUCCAAGAUGCAGUCGCCAUUGUCGUUCACCACCUGAACCCUAGCGCUGCCCCUGAUGACGUAGUAUACUUCAUGGGCGUUCAAGUUCCAGUGUGGGCUGUAGAUAGCGUUCUGCAUUUACAACGUAUCAAUCACUUUUAAUUACUUAAGCUCAAACAAUUAAUUGGUAACUAAUUAAAAUGAACUAAUAAAUGCAUGGAAAAGAAUACUGACGUUGUAGAAGAAGCCUCUCUCAGCGCUGAGACGGAGGCGCCUGAGAAUAGGCAUGGUGAAGGCGUUGAGGGUGCUGAUGCGACCGGCUUGCGGGCUGAAGACGUCGGCCAUUGUAGGCCUUCCGAUGUUUUGUCUCAUCUUCAUGUGGCAGAAGAGCUCCUCCAUGCCGUUCUCUUCAUAUUGUCCUUGUUGUCCCUGCAUUUGUGUUCCUUGGAUUUGCCUUUCCUCCCUCAUUGACUCUGGGGGCUGGAUGAAGUCGAGGCGUCCCUGUACCCUAACAAUCUGUGGCCUGUUGUCGUUCAUUCCCUGGAGCUGCUGGGCGGUCUGUUGGUCGAUGUUAAGAGCGUCGGCGAGGAGCUGUGUGUCGAAGCCGGAGAAGACGUUGUUGUAGUUCCCCUGCAUUUGGUGCCUGCUCUUUCCUUGUUGUCUCCGGAUCCGUGGGCUUUGGCCUUGUUGGGUGAACUCAUCUUGUGGGUUACCAGCAAGGUAGAAUCUCUAUAUAUAAAGAGAGAUUAAGCAGCAACAAGUCAGUGAACAUUACCCUAAACUAUUUUUGGUACAUGCAAGAAUAUAUACUGAAUGAAAUGUGGUAAGAAAUUGUACCCUUGGGAUUCGGUCCAGCUGGUUGUGCUGGUUGCUCAUGUCAAGAAGACUGACGAAAACAAGAGGUUCGUUAGCGUCGUUGUAACUCCAGCAGGUGACACCAGCAGGAAUGGCGAUAACAUCACCUUCCCUGACGCGUCGGACCUUCUGGUGACGGUCGAGCUGAUCAUAGCUCUCUUGCUGGCCUUGCUGGCCCAUUUGUCCCUCUCGGCGUAUAAUCUGUUGCCGGCGGCCUUGUUGGCCUUGAGAUUGUCGUUGCUCUUCAACAGAUUGUUCGGUUUCUUCGAAAGUCUCGGGACAGCCGGGGAGAACCAUUCCUAGAUGACCCAUACCUGCAAUACUCAUAGCAAUAAGUUAACAGUCCAUCGACAAACGCUAGCUAGCUACAUGCAAUUUCGGUAUAACUAAUGAAGUGAUAUGAUAUUACCUCGGACGACGUAAACGAGUCGUGGAGUGUUAACGUAAGAAGGCAGGUGGAGGCCGUUGUUCUCAAUGGUGAUCUUCUGAACGGCGACGCCAGCGCACUGGAAGUCAUCCUGGUUGUAGUCCCAGGACUCGAUCCGACCUGCUUCAGUCUCAAUGCGGUUGUCGGGCUCGCGGGCUUGGAUCCGGUUCAGCAUGCACUCAUUUUGCUGGCUGAACUGAGUUUGUCGCCGACUGGCUAAGCAGCCGUGGAAGAGAACAAGUAAGCAAAGAGAGAAAGCGAGAGCUAAGUGCUUGGCCAUUGUGAUGAUCAAUGGCAGAUAGCUAGUUGUGGGUUGUGAUGAUGAAGUGGAGAGUAGAGCGUUGGUAUUUAUAGGAGAUGAGAGGAGGUGAGGGUGAGAAUAGUGCAAAUGAUGUGUAAGGAAUCUCAUGCCAUUCUUCUCUUUGCAUGGCUAUUAGUAUUUCACAUUCUUACACCUCAUUUCUCUUCCAGGGCAGGUGGCUCUUGGCUUCAGAGAAGGUUUAAAGUUAUAAGAACAAGGUGGCAACCAGGUGGGGUGGCCAUGAUUGUUUGCAAGUGAAGCAAAUUUCACCUCCCCGAACCUCGUGCAAUGCAUGAACUCGAAUAAUUAACUCAUGAAUCAGAUCUGAAACUGUUUCAUGUUCGUGAAGAAAUAUUACAUCAGUACCAUCCCGAACUAUCUAUAAUUUACGGAGGUGAAACAUAAGAUGAUAAGAACUUUAUCAUCUUCCAAAUAGUAAUAUCCAUAUUCCUUUACUCCCUUUGUAUGUAAUUCAAAUGUAGUAUUUAAGACUUUUUGAACAUUUUUCAAGAAUGAUCUCUGGACUCGGCGCGCUCUUAUGUAUAAGAGUUCCUUUACCUGCUAAUAAAUCUAAAUAACUUAUAUAUAUAUAUAAACGGAUUUUCUCAGCUGCGGACGUCCGCACCAAUUUUUUGGUGCGGAUUUCUAUUUUUUCAUCACUUUUCGAUCGAAUUUCCUCAUCUCCACCGUCUAGUAUCUAGAUAAUAUUGUGUAGAUCAUCUCUGCAANNNNNNNNNNNNNNNNNNNNNNNNNNNNNNNNNNNNNNNNNNNNNNNNNNNNNNNNNNNNNNNNNNNNNNNNNNNNNNNNNNNNNNNNNNNNNNNNNNNNNNNNNNNNNNNNNNNNNNNNNNNNNNNNNNNNNNNNNNNNNNNNNNNNNNNNNNNNNNNNNNNNNNNNNNNNNNNNNNNNNNNNNNNNNNNNNNNNNNNNNNNNNNNNNNNNNNNNNNNNNNNNNNNNNNNNNNNNNNNNNNNNNNNNNNNNNNNNNNNNNNNNNNNNNNNNNNNNNNNNNNNNNNNNNNNNNNNNNNNNNNNNNNNNNNNNNNNNNNNNNNNNNNNNNNNNNNNNNNNNNNNNNNNNNNNNNNNNNNNNNNNNNNNNNNNNNNNNNNNNNNNNNNNNNNNNNNNNNNNNNNNNNNNNNNNNNNNNNNNNNNNNNNNNNNNNNNNNNNNNNNNNNNNNNNNNNNNNNNNNNNNNNNNNNNNNNNNNNNNNNNNNNNNNNNNNNNNNNNNNNNNNNNNNNNNNNNNNNNNNNNNNNNNNNNNNNNNNNNNNNNNNNNNNNNNNNNNNNNNNNNNNNNNNNNNNNNNNNNNNNNNNNNNNNNNNNNNNNNNNNNNNNNNNNNNNNNNNNNNNNNNNNNNNNNNNNNNNNNNNNNNNNNNNNNNNNNNNNNNNNNNNNNNNNNNNNNNNNNNNNNNNNNNNNNNNNNNNNNNNNNNNNNNNNNNNNNNNNNNNNNNNNNNNNNNNNNNNNNNNNNNNNNNNNNNNNNUAUAUAUAUAUAUAUAUAUAUAUAUAUAUAUAUAUAUAUAUAUAGGUUUCAACCGCAAGAGGUUAGUUCAGCACUAGUAAAUAUAUAAUUACAUGGCACAUGGAAGUGAUGGAACAAAGAAGUGAUACGCAAAUCAUCAAACUAUCACAUACGGCCUGAAACUUUGUGCUAAUACGUACAUAUGCCCUUCAAAUAUCCCUUAAACUUGUCAUAUUGUCAUAUAUAUUGACAUGCAUUUCAUUUGCAUCAAUGCAGAAUCAAACCCUUCGUAUAAAAUAAAAAUAAAAAUGCAGAAUCAAACCCUGACGUUAAUACAAGGAUAUUAGUUCCUAUGUCACUAACCGAUCGAUUUGGUGCAUCAAGUGCUCACCCAUGUACAAUCCCAAACAUAUGAUUCAUAUGAUAUGAAAUAGGCCAUCACAACCGAGAACUCACCGCCCCUCCUCUAUUUAACCCUGAGCUUAGAUAUCAAUCAUAUGAAACGCAUUCAUUUCCACAAGUGAAUUAAAAACCUCUGAAGGCUUAAUUAGCCGUUUAGGGUUCAUAUAUGGAUCUCUCAGUAAUUUGAAUUUGGCCACUUAUUCGAUCUUGUCAAACGAAGGACGCAAGGCAAUCUUUAGCUACUAGUUGUCCUUAGCGAUGAUCAUUAAGCACGUACGUACAGUUUCUAUAAUAAACUUUCUUAUUUCUUUCUAUUACAAUGGUUUGAAGCUUUUCUGUGCUAAUUGAUUCGUAAAGCUCGAGAGUACGUAGCUAUAUAUAUCCCAAUCAUUAAGGACCCUAUUAAUCAAAGUGAACAAUUAGCUUCAGGAUAACUGAGUAGGAAUAAUGGAGUAGCACCGGGAAAUAAGUCGGAAAAUACGUUCGUCCGGACUAAGUACGUAUGUGUGCGUCCGGACUCUCUUUUAUUUACUUUCUUUUGUCAAUGCAAAUCAUAAUCUUAACCGUUCAAAAGUUGAAUUAACCUAUAUAGAUCAUCUCUACAAAAUUUCAAUGUAAACAAACAUCGUUUUCUUAGUCGAUUACAUUAAACAAAUUGACAGUUCUAGUGAAAGUUAACAGUCUCAUGAUCAGUCGUCCAUUUGUUUGAUACAUUCGGCUUAGAAAACAAUGUUUGUUUACAUUGAAAUUUUGCAGAGGUGAUCUCCAUAUAUAGGUACGUAAAUAAGAAAGAGUUCAGACGCACACGUACAAACUAGUCCGAACGCAAAUAUUUUCCAAAUAAACUAGUCCGAACGCAAGUAUUUUCCAAAUAAGUUAAAUGACAAAAGCCAAAGUUUACAAGUACAUAAGAUUAGACCGAGUGUAAUGAUAAAAUGCGUGCACCAAAUCGGAAAUUGAGACUGAGAAUAAGAUUAAACACUCUGUAGUGUGUACUUACGUAGAGUUUAUCUAUCAAACUUGUUGUCGAAUUUGCUUUGAGGCAAAACCACCUAGCUACUUCAAAUUGGCGUGUAAGAUGAUGCUUAUAGUUGUGGACUUGUGGGUAAUGAGUUGAGAUUAAGUUAGAGUGACUGCGAGAGCGGUAUGUUGGAGUCUUCAAAAUAUAACCCAUUUUACAUUUCUCCUAUUCUAUGAUUAUUCUUUUUUCUUAUCCUAUGUUCUAUAAGUAGAUAACACAAUUGUCAAUUCUUUUAUUUUUCUUCUCUGUUCUAAAAAAACAAAAGAAUGUCUAAAUGUUGAAUCAACCAUAUAACAAAUUAAGCAAUACACUAAAAGAAGCUGCAGCUACCAGCUUGCUUUGGUCAAUUUGUUAUAUACUAAAGAUAUACCAAUUAUUCAUCAACGUCGACUCGGGUCAACGUACCACAUAGAUAUGCAAUAUGAAAGGGAAGAGUAUAUCAUCAAGGCAAACCAAAAAAGUGAAAACUUCAUUAGAAAGCAUAACGUUACAAGUACGUACAUAUACGUAGCAGCUAGUACUAUAACUUAGUACAUUGGAUCUCCCAUACUACAAAAGAGCCAUACAAGGCACUUUUAUUCCCUCGAACUGACGAACUCUACCCCUUAGCUAGCUUGAUGCUAAAACACUACAUGCCGCAUCACAUUUUUACAUACAUAUAUUGAUAUAUUUAAGCACUAGCCCUCUCGGACUGGAAAGAUCUUGAGGAGCUCAAGGCAACAGUCUCCUGCCUGUUGUACUUGAGGUUCCUUGCCUGCUGACGGUCCAUCUGGUAAGCAUUGGCGAGGACCACGUCGGGGAGUGCCCGGAGGACGGAGGUCCUGCCAGCCAAGGUGUUGAUUAUGGCAUUGUCUUGUGUCUUGAAGGCAAUGUACUCGUAUCCAUUGCUCAUGGCCUUUUGCAGCACGGCGUGGUUCUGCGGCACGAUGAAGAGCUGUCCCUGGCGGACCUGGUCGUCCAAGAUGGUCUCACCGUUGUCGUUCACCACCUGAACCCUAGCGCUGCCCCUGAUGACGUAGUACACUUCAUGGGCGUUCAAGUUCCAGUGUGGGCUGUAGAUAGCGUUCUGCAUGUACCACAUAAUAACCAUAAUUAAAACUGCUAAAUUAAACUCCACCAUAACUUGAUUAGACUUAGUUGAUAGACAAAUCAAUAUGCAUGCAUAUAUACUCACGUUGUAGAAGAAGCCUCUCUCAGCGCUGAGACGGAGGUGCCUGAGAACGGGCAUGCUAAGGCCAUUGAGGACGCUGAUGCGACCGGCUUGUGGGCUGAAGACGUCAGCCAUUGAAGGCUUGCCGAUGUUCUGCUUCAUCUUCAUGUGGCAGAAUACCUCCUCAAAACCAUUCUGUCCUUGUCGUCCUUGUUGUUGUCUUUCCUCCCUCAUUGACUCUGGGGGCUGGACGAAGUCGAGGCGUCCCUGAACCCUAACGAUCUGUGGCCUGUUGUCGUUCUGUCCCUGGAGCUGUUGGGCGGUCUGUUGGUCGAUGUUGAGAGCAUCGGCAAGGAGUCUGGUGUCGAAGCCGGCAAAGACGUUGUUGUUGUUGUUUCCCUGUUGUUGGUGUCUGAUCUUUCCCUGUUGUCUCGCGAUCGAAUGUCGGCUUUGGCCUUGUUGGGUGAACUCAUCUUGUGGGUUACCAGCAAGAUAGAAUCGCUGCUCAUACAGAUCAAGCAGCCAUUGAGUUAAACGAUUUUGUAACAUUGUAUCCAUAUAUAUAAUCAGGUGUCAGUAAGAAAAUCCAUAUAUAAUUAUAUAUUAUCAAAACGUUGAUAAGAAAAGGUACCCUUGGGAUUUGGUCAAGUUGGUUGUGAAGGUUGCUGGUGUCUUGAAGACAGACGAAAACAAGAGAUUGGUCACCGUCGUUGUAGGACCAGGUUGUGACUCCGGCGGGGACGGCGAUAACGUCACCUUCCUUGACGGGUCGCACUUUCUGGUGUCGGUCUAGCUGUUCGAAGCUCUCUUGUUGUCCCUGUUGGCCUUGUCGGCGUCCAAUUUGCUGGCGACCUUGUUGCCCUUGCCCUUGCUGUUGCGAGCCCUGUAGUUGUUCCUCGUAAGAUUGCUCGGUUUCUUCGAAAGUCUCGGGACAUCCGGGGAUCACCAUUCCUAGUUGACCCCUACCUGAAAUAGAUCACGUAUAAAAGACAGUAAGUUAACCUUGCUCAAGCACAACAUGCAAUUUAGUCAUAAGUUGAUCAGAAAAAGCGACGUUUAGAUAUUACCUUGGACAACGUAAAGGAGGCGAGGACUGUUGGUGUAAAAAGGCAAGUGAAGGCCGUUGCGCUCGACGGUGAUUCUCUGAACGGCGACUCCGGCGCACUGGAAGUCAUCCUGGUUGUAGUCCCAUGACUCGAUCCGACCCGCCUCGGUCUCAAUGCGGUUGUCGGGCUCGCGGGCUUGGAUCUGGUUCAGCAUGCACUCAUUUUGCUGGCUGGACGGAGAUUGUUGGCGAUAGGCUGAGCAGCCAUGAAAGAGAACAAGCAAGCAGAGAGAGAGAGCUAAAGACCUGGCCAUUUUGUAGAGUGGAUACUAGCUAUAGCUACUUGGGUGAGGAAGAGAGUGGAGAGGGGUUGGGAUUUAUAGGGUAGCGAAAGAGGUAAGGGAGGGACACGUACGUUGAGGAAGGGGUUGCAUGUGUAUAAGGCAUCUUCAGCCAUCUUUCUGUUUGCAUGGUGUGAAGGUUUGAAGGGUUUACACCUCAUUUCUGUGGUCUGAGGCAGGUGGCUUUGGUGAAGAAGAAGAUACAAAGUGCAUGGGAUAUAUGUGGCGAGAGGAUGGAGUCUCCAGUAUUGUCCGGAUGCAAACUGAAACUGCUUUUGAAGUUUACUGCCUUAAUUUUGGUAAAUAUGGAGAAAAAUACAUACAGUUUGUGAAAAGUAAAAUAAAUAAAGGAACUCCAUCAACUCAUCUGAACAUUGGGAAUUUGGGAUAAAUAACUAGUUAUCUCGAUCUGAUCUCAGAUAUGCAUGGCCUAAACUUACAUCCUACACUACCAUAGCUGCAAUGUAUAUUAAUACACAUGAAUCUAACCAAGCUCCUUAUAACUAGAAAAUAGAAUUGUUCUUUUUUUUCUUCUUUAAUUUGUAUCUUGGGUAUCAGUACUUUAACUGAUAUAUAACAACUGGAAAACUGUACAACAGCGUCUUGUACGGAAGUGCAAUGUAGGACGUAUUUUAUAUAGGAAAAUUCAAGGUAUUGGACUGUUUGCUAUACAAUGUAUUUUUAAAUAUUUUCGAUCAUCGGUUCUUGAAUUUUAAGAAAUAUGGUAACCGGUUUGGGGUUGUCUACGUAUAGAGAUGUGUAUAUUAUACUCAUUUUACAACUAAUUAAACCAAACUUAUAAUUUAAUGAAAAUAAAUAUACGACGAUGACAACAAACCUACCAGUUGAUUAUGUCAACUCAUUUGAAAUUACUAAUGAAGACACAUAAGCGUAAAAAAUAAUAAUAAUCCUCUUUUUCUUUCAUUACAGUAGUCUUCAUCUAGAAGAAAAAAUUCUUUUCCAACAUAAACACUAACAGAUACGUCGAACUCCAUGGAAGAUAGUGACAUUGUUUUGGAGUAUAUGCACAAUGUAUGAGUUUCUUGUUUUUUUUUUUUUUUUUUUUUGUUUCUUUUUUUGUAUGAAUUCACAAAUGUAUUAUUGUAAUUGUUUCAAUAAGAAGGAAACUUGUUGUCGACUAAGCAGAGUUUGCCCGUCCUAUUACUACAAAGAUUUUGAAGUUGUUUUUUUCUUUGUGUAUACUAAACACUCGUAAAUUUUCUUUAUUCAAAAGAAAAGUGUAUACUGACAAUCUCUUCUCCCUAAUAGAAAUAGCUUUAUGAUAUAGCGGCAAAAGACAAAUCUUGAGUUUUGGAUUUCGUUAUAAGAACUUGAUAAUUUUAUAAGAAAGUAAAUUAAUGGGUUGUUAUAUAUAGAGCUUGAGUAUAUAUACAUGGACUCUUUUUGAUAAUUUUAAGAGAAUGUUCUAGGAUAUUCUGUAUCUUUCUAGAUAUUCUUUAUGUGUGCAUUGGCCUUAUGCCAAUAGGAUAUGUAGUUAGACUAAUUCUAUGUAUUCAUAUCCUUACCAUAUUGGUAUUGUGUAAUUCCCUAUAUAAAGGGCUCAUAUCAAUGAAUAAGAUGAUGAUUCUCUUGCUAUCUCUUUCUCUACACUUUAUAUUUCAUCACGUUAUCAUGCACUUUGUUAUAACCCUAGAGCCAAUAGCCCACCAUUUGUUUUCCAAACCCUAAAAUCUGACAGCCUUGUUUUUCCUGAUUUCCGACCAAAAUUCCGACUGCCCUCUGCCGGAGUUUUAUAUCCCCAGAAAGCUCUCUCCGUCCUGGAUCCAACGCCGCCGGCCUCACCCUGAGAACCGGCCGGAAAGUCUUCGAACCGGCCGCUAGAAGAUUCCAGACCGCCGCCGCUACCGACCACCGGUUCACCACCUUCCCUUGCUCCGAUCAACCUGAAAUUUUGACAGCAGCUUCCCCAUCCAGAGCUGCUCAUUCUGUCAAAUUUUCAGCCCCAAAUUCGAAGUAUAAGUAGGCGAAACGUUAUUUCUCCUCUCGGCAGCCUCUAGAAACCAAAGAUUUCAAGAUUGGUCGUCUUCCAAGGAAACCAGAAAGGUAUGUUUUGAAACCUUAAACUUUUCCAAGUUCAAUAACUCGGGGAGGAUAAAAUCUUUUCCGCCCUUCUCUAUCUCCAUUCUAUGCUUGGGAUUUUGUGUGUGCAGGUACCAAAAAUCCCGGAAUUUUAUUCGCGGGUCAAGAGUGUAUUUGAUCACUCUUGCUUCCUUGUCCAGGUUGUGUAUGAUCAACCCCAACCUUUCUCCGGAUUGUGUUUGAUCAAUCCGAGGCCUUUUCCGAAUUGUGUUUGAUCAAUUCGCGACUUUUUCCGGAUUGUGUAUGAUCAAUCCGAAGGACAAACCAUUAAAAGCAUUGUUUGUGACCUCUAUCGAGUCUCAUAACAGCUUGGUUUUGUAUGCAAGAGCAACGUAACAUUCUGCUCAUUGAGUUUUGACGUACUCGAUACCUAAGACGAAUCUUCGCUUGGUAUCUGUGGAACAUUUCACUGGAAAGGAUUAAACAACAUAUUUUGACCCCCAGGCUAACAAGCCUAGAUGCCGAGAUUUCACAUCUCAUGCGCUCAAAGUCUUUGACGCGCCACAUCGACAAGCCUUCAAUGGCAAUCUGUGUAAAAAGUAAUGACCACAAAGUACUAUGGAAUGCACUCAUGGAGCGUUUCUUGAAACGUCCAUAUAACUCUACUUGUUGAGUUAUUAGUCAAGUGGAUUACUUACCGCCUUAAUUGACUACAUAUUGUCGAUGAUCAUUUGUGGCAUCAUGAUCCAUAACCUUUAGCGGAUUCGAUCAUCAUCAAGUUCUCUAGGUCCUCCAAGUUGGUUUGGAAUUACCAACGAGACUUGAUUUUGAUCAUACAAACGGGAAUUGUAUAUAUACGCUAAUGUGAUAAAUUUAUUUAGGAUUAUCCCCUAAAUGUGGGAACAACAAUAUGGGUCAUGACAACGGCAGAAAACGUCGUGCCGAUGUCUAGAAAAGAGGGGGAGGUGUCACCGGCUCUAAUAGCAACACUCCCGGUCUAGACACCAUUUUGUCAAAACUACUCACGUCAGCUCAUGACAACGCAACCAUUGUGGAUCUUCGGAUCACUGGUUCAAGAUUGUCAAGCUCCUUCAAAUUGUGAAUGCAUACAAAAAGGUAUAGAAAAUCAAUAUGAGGACAAGAACAUCAUCCUCAUGAUCGCGAAUUUCAAAGAUUCGGAUCCUGCUCUAGCUACCCAUGACUUUGACGUCAUCGACUAGACAUUGAUUUUCGUUCCAAGCUAUAUGUACUAAGGCGUUGAGACCUUGAUGUACUCACAUUAGCAAUAACGAAUGCCUUGAGAAUUUUUUCGAAGUUAUAAAACUAUUCUCCUCUUAUGGUUCGUAUUGAUUUACAAACAAGAUUUACAUUUUUACAUCGUCCUUAGAAGCAUGGCAUAUUUACAAUCUACAUGGUUAGAUUGUGCAGUUUUGGUCUCUUCCAAGUGGAGAUGACGCACGCCCUUGCAUCCUUAAGUAGGAUCGCUAACGUGUUUCCGGUUAAGUCUUCUACCCUAUAGCAGAUUUUUCAUCAUCAAUUGUUCAACUAGGCUCAUCCAAGCUCAGUGUGAUGUCUUAGAAUUGCCCGAAAUUAAGGAGAUAGUGGUUUCAAGUGUGCCUCGCACUACCGACCCUCCACGGACAUGCCUGGUCAUACUGACUUGGAGUUACCGAAAGCUUUUGAUUUUGGAUCCCCCUACGCUAUUAAACCAAUUGCCGUCUUGCAAAAGAUGUUGAAGACUUAUCAAAAACCGGAAAAUUAUCAUCAUGAUCUAAUCCUCUAGGUCCUCUGAGUUAGUUUAUGUUCAUGUCAGGGAGAUUUUGCUAACUAGUCAUGGAGUUUACGACCUUAGAAUGACCGAAAGGACUUUGUUUUGAUCAUACACACGUCACUUGUGGCUAAGGCAAAAUCCUACACGCCACUUGCAAGCUUCACAGCUUCGCACAUGCCAAUUCUGCGAAAAACAGCAAUCUGUCCCUUCUGGACAGUCAACUUCGUUUGCGUUUUGUGAACAGCUCCGGACGAACCAGACAAUAAGCUUUAUAUCAUUGGAAAGCUCUAUGAGUCUAGUUUUCAGAACUUUUCGCGGUUCAUCUAUAUCUAUUUUAACAAGGAAGUUAUGGCUGUUUUAGUGCGCAAAAGUCAUUCUGCGCGGAAAUUUUUAUGCACUCUCGGGAUUGCAGCUUUUCGUAGCUUCUUUCAAUCCUUCUAAAUAGUUCAAGUGGAACUAUUAACUAGCCUAUCUACUCCUUCUUGUAGAUAUGUCUCAUCGAGACAUUGAGUGCUUCGCAGAUAGUGGAACUAUCCAUAACAUUCUAAGGAACCGGCAACUAUCUUUGGAUUUUGUGUCUUUGUAAAUCUUCUGUGACUACAAUGAUUGAAUCAUACCGGUCAUUCAAGGACGCGGUUUAGCUUAAAUCUUGAUGCCUCAUGGAACCAUGAUCAAUGUCACAGAUACCCUCUAUGCAUUGAGAGGCAAUCGAACCAUAUUGAGCUCUAAAGACAUUCCUGCUAAUAGUUUUCAUUUGAAAACACAUUGUGAGAAUGAACAAGAAUUCUUUUGUGUAUACCUUCUCAUGAAUGCGGACUGAAGUGCAUCUUGGAGAAAUUCAUGAGUCAAUCUAGUGGACUGUAUGUCACUAUGAUUCGAAUAUGAUUCGAAUAUCGAAUCUCAUGUUGUCACCAAACAUGAUAUUUGGGACACUGACUCAUAUAGGCUUUGGUUUUAACCAAUUAAGGUCAUCCUAGAAGAGAUAUAAUGGUCCAAAUUUUGAGAAAUUCUCAUGGACAUCCAUUCUUCCGCUCAAAACAAAGACAUUCGAGAUCUAGCAUCACCAUGAAGCAUGGUGGUGACCCGGGGGACAUUGACGUCACCCGAACAAGGCUCCAACUUCCCGGAGGCCGUCCGGUCAAUUCCUCAAGCAACUGAGGUGCACCAGCCUUUCCUCGAUGUCGCAUUGGCCCCCUGCAAUGCUUAUUACUCGUUUUGAAAGCCUAUUAUUUAGCUAAAUUAGGAGUGAGACCCUCCUACGCUAAAUAACACAAAAGUGAACAUUCUAUUCUUACAUAAAAUUAUGUAGAUAGAUACAACCAACUUGCGAACAUCUUUUAUGUUUUAUGGUGUUGGUUGAAGUGUUAACACACUGGUCAUGUGUUACACUAUUAUCUACUGCUUAUGUUGCUUAUACUUCUACGGGCUCACUACCCAUUCUUUAAAGAAGUUUAUCGGGAUGUAAGUUGAAGUGUCCUGUACCCCAUGUUCACACGCAAUACGGUCUCACCGAGGCUACGACUAAGCAACUUUAGCUUGUCGCUCGAACAUUAUUGAUGCGCACCAAUCUUUCUAUUGCGUCUUGGGGCUAUACAAUAUUUGCAUGCAGCUUUACUAUUCAUCUACAACUCACCAUCAUUGAAUAUUUUUGUACUACAGCUCGUGACUGUGUACCAGGAUUGCAAUCCUUGAGCUCAAACAAGAUUGAAACGGAUCUCCAAUCCUUGAGCUCAGCUAGAUAUUUAUUCUAGGUGUCAAAUCGCACUGCCACUGAAGGACAAUGAUGGGUCAUUUGAGAUGAAUAAGUAUUUAGGUUGGAUAUGAAUCUCCACCUAUAAUCCGCAUAUGUAGAAACCUUGUCAGACGAUCUCUUUCACCGCUAUAUUGCGGAUUGUCACUUUGAUGAGACAAUAUUCUCGCCGUUAGGGGGAGAUAAGAGCACAAGUGUUCAAGUGGAACGACGUGAAUUGUCGUGGUUUGUCCCCACUAAGUCUCAUCUUGAUCCCAAAUGCUUAAAGUGUUAAAGUGACGAGAUCACAUGCAGCAAAUAUGUCUGUAAGGAUUGAUGUCCUUUUCAAAGGACAUGGCGCGACCAAAAGGUGUUGGUCUUGACGCCAUCACCAUGGAUGGUGAUAUAGUGACGCCAUAUAGUGGCAAAAUUGGUGUCACAAAGCCGUGUGGCUCCCUAAAAGGAAGGAGACCUUUAGGUUCGAUACUUUCUCGCACUAGAAAGAAAACGAGCUUGGCACAACCUGAUCCAUUGAUCAGUGAUACUCAAAUCCGUCUCAUGAAGUCUGAAUUGUGAUUAUCGUUGGGGGACGCCUCAACGUCAAAUCCAAUCCAUAUAGAGAUCUCUACACGUAUUACACUAGUGUACAUGAGGACGUGGGAUAAUGAGUCUACUAUCGAACCACCCUUCGUUGAUGGAUAUCAACUUAGUUGAUUGGCCUAAUGGAAAGAUGUGAUCCAGCAUAACAAAGAGAUAGGUCCUUGGGCAGGUGAUGCCGACACCGCAAGCUAAACCCUAUCAACUAUGCCUUUGUUAGAUAACGUAGUGAGAACAAGAGCUUAGACUCACCUUAUGACGCAAGGUAUCUCACUAACACGCACUGAGAUCGACUACGAUAAGAUAUGCUUUCGUAAUGGAUGUCAUUGAACUCCACUACUUUGUCAGUUUGGUAGUUUCCGAAUAACUGAACAAGCAGCCUAUGAAUGUGAUCGUAAUAACAUCUCUACGGGAUCAGAGAUAUGCAUGAAGGUCUUGAACAGACUUCAUUCAUCCAAAUCAAGUGGCUCCAGACCACAGGAGCAUGUGUUUGCUAAAUGUAUUGAAACGCACAUGGACUCCACUUGAUUUGGAAGGGAUAUGGUGAAUUAUGCAUUUGCGUGUUCAUUCAAGAUUUACAUGGACUCUUGAUGGAUCAAGAGAUGCCAAUAUGUAUCAACAUCCGAAGAAAAAGAUCUUGGGAAGACACGGUCUCGAUAAGACACUCGAUGACUGUAUUGAUGAUGAUUUUUCAUCAAUCGGCUUAGGUGCUCUAACGAAAGUGAGGCCUACAUAUACUCCCAUGAUUAGUCAAAGUCUUUACUCUAAAGAGAGAUCCGUUGUUUUGUCUAAAGCAUGAUGACAAAUAUGUGUUAAGAGAUGGAGUUCCCAUCUAAGUACAAUUAGACGCAUCAAUGUACUCAACACAAUAUGAAAGACUUGACAUCUCAUUCGCUAUGAAAAGUUGUAAAGCUAAGUAUAGUUAUGCGCCCACGUAACGCCAAUGUAAUGGCAGUAACUCUUUUUUCAAUACUUAAUGGUAUGAAAGGUUGAGGCUAAUUCUAUCCCUACAUAAGAAAGACACAUCAAUAGCGAAAUCAAAAUCUGCCAAGUUUCGUAGGUCAACUUCCACGGGACCUACAAGAAAUCUCACUCACUAGAAAAUGGUGAAAUUGGUACCAUUGGAAAGUUCUAUGUGUCUACUUUCCAGGGACACCAACCAUUUGUUCAUACCUAUCAUAUUGAGUGAGUUAUGGCCGUUUUCAUAAAGUAUGACGAAUCUGUCCGAGAAUCUGAUUUUGGCAAAACAGUCAACUUCGACGGGACUUUGUGAAUAGCUCCUGAUGAAUCAGAACAUGUGUAAUAUACAGUUGGAAAGCUAAAUGAGUCUAGUUUCCAAAACCGUUUACGGUUCAUUCAUAUGUAUUUCCUAGAGGAAGUUACGACUGUUCUAGUAACUGAAGGUCAUGCUGCGCGGAAAUCUGAUUUCCUGCACAAACUUAUGUUUUGAGUUCACAAGCGGCCUUCUCCUCAAGAUCUAAGUGUAAAAGAUCAUUUGAGGACAAUACGGCAUGAUUUAGUUAAUCAUUGCCUAAUGCCACAUUUGAAGACAUGUUAAAGAGCAUUGACAUGCUAAGUUGUUGAAAUUUCCGUGAUUAGUAAAAAUCAGGAAUAGCCCUAUGAUUGAUGUAAAGAUCAGGGGGAGGUGCAAACUUCAGGGGGAGUCUAGCACAUACAUACAUGUCACUAUCAAAUGUGAAUGGUGCGUUGUACUCUUUUUCUCCUACGAUCAAGGUUCAGUUUUUCUCCCACAUGGUUUUUGUGACUUGACGAGGUUUUUAACGAGGCAACAGAUCAGCACCAUCGGCAUAUCAGAGCGGCACAAGGGGGAGUGUUCUAGGAUAUUCUGUAUCUUUCUAGAUAUUUUUUAUGUGUGCCUUGGCCUUAUGCCAAUAGGAUAUGUAGUUAGACUAGAUCUAUGUAUUCAUAUCCUUACCAUAUUGGUAUUGUGUAAUUCCCUAUAUAAAGGGCUCAUAUCAAUGAAUAAGAUGAUGAUUCUCUUGCUAUCUCUUUCUCUACACUUUAUACUUCAUCAGAGAAUAAUGUUUUUCUUGAUUUUAUUGGACUAUGGGCGUUCUGGGAAAAUUGAGGAGGUGUAUAUAACAUUUUAGUUAUUUGUAAAAGUAAAUUUGAGGUCCAUUAAACAAGAAGAUCCAACAGCCGUUUUUAGAGAUAUAAAUAGAACCUCCCAUGACGGAAUGAUAUUACAGUGAAGUUGAAAAAAAAAAAAAAAGUCACAAUGUGCUUGACCUAUAUAUAUAUAUAUAUAUAUAUAUAUAUAANNNNNNNNNNNNNNNNNNNNAAAAAAAGUAAAAACUAACAUAUGNUNUACUACUAUAUAUAUAUAUAUAUAUAUAUAUAUAUAAACCAUACUUUCUUGUAUCAUCUUCAAAAAUAAGGUUCAAAUUAACAGCUAAACAAAACAUCGAUUAUCGUACGUUAAUGUUUCCUUUAGUUAUAGACUACUAGCAGAAAUCCGUAAUAUAUAUAGCUCCACAAUAACUAGUAGUGAAGUAUCUACGUGCAUGCAGAGCUAUCUAUUUGUUCUGUACAUGGGAAUGGUGGGUUUGGCUUUAUACCGAUAAAGAACUCUCCUGUCCUUGAAAUUCCAGUUCUCAAAGGUCACGAAUAUCUUCCCUGGUUCACUAAAGUAGAAGGAGUUUCUCACACUCUCUCCUUGCAGUCUCUUCUUGUCUUGGAUUAGAAUGUUGUACGACCCUUCAUCAUCAGGAAGGAACUCUUCCUUGUACAACACGUCCCAUCCCACCACAGUUAGAUCCCACACCAUUGUCAAUCCACCCUAAUCAAAUGAAAACACCCCAAAAAAUGAAAAUUAUUAGUUAACAACAAGAUUCAACUCAUCAUUCGAUUAAACACGCGAUUAAUGACGAGAAUUAGUACCUCAACAACUGGAAUUUCAAUAUAGUUGAUUGUGUUUGCUUUGAUUAUGAGCUCAGAUACUUUGUCCUCUGGUGUGAACUCAUCAUCUUGCUCUCUUUUGAGGCCACCAUAUUGAACUGGGAGUUCUUCUGGUUCUAUGAACCUUUUUUUUCAUAAUCAUUUCCAUGCAAAGUAACUUGUGUAUUAGAGACACGGAUGAGAUACUAAUGUAAUUGGAUAGUUUCAAUUUUUUGAGUAGUAAUCUCACUCACUUGAGAAGGGUCUUUGUAACCUUUUGGGAUCUAGCAAAGAUGAACGUCUUCUUAGUUCUGUGACUUAGAAACCUUGAUCGGAGCACAUGAGACACAUAAUACCAAAGUGGAGCAUUGAUAACAAUCUGCCAGUGGAAAGCAAGAAAUUAACAUAUACCACAUUGUAAUUAGCAAGUGCAGAGUUUUGCUACUUACAUUCUUUUGAAUGAGCUCAGGAUAGUUGUCCUGUAACAAGAGCAGAGUUUUGCUACUAAGCGAACGAAGCUCCUUAAAAUCGGGGCCUGGGGAAUCCUUCAAAUCCGUAAUCUGAACCAUCGAAUCAACCCCUCUCUUGAAGUUGAGCUUCUUGAUUCCCUUUUCAAUGAAUUGAACUCUCCACCUCAAAAACUGUUGGCGUCUUGCUUCAGACCCGAAUGUUUUCUUGUACAAGUCUUUGUCCUUGAAAGGUCCAUACGAAGUGUAACACAAAGGGUGGCCAUCUUUGUCUCUACUAUUUAUGCACACCACGUCUUCAAGACCAGAGACUCCUAAAUCUUCUUCCAGAAUUUCAUCAGUCCUGAAUUCUUUUCGCCAUUUCAGGGUUCUUUUCAGCAUUUCAAAUGCGUCGCUGGUCUUGUAAUCCCGGGCUUUCAAGAAUUUGAGGAGCAAAACAUCAGUGCCUUGAUGGCCUUUGCUUGGCAACAAAGGCACACCCCAUAGGGUAAUCUCCUUGAGUUGUUCUUUCUGCCUCAAGCUUUCAUUUCGGCUAAUCCUUCUGCUGGGUUUUCCGAGAAUGUAAUUCCCCAUAAUUGCAUCUUCAACUCUGCACCGGAAUUCCAUCAAGGCUUUCCUCUUCUUCUUCUUCAUUGACGCAGAAGCAGCUUUGGUUUCCUCAUCAUCCUCUAUAGCUCUACGUUCAACAUCUUCUUCAUCACUAUCCGGACAUAAUUCCCGGGGGCUUUCCAAGAUGUAGUCAUUAGGCUGAUCAUAAUUUCCCAGAGGCGAGUCAAGCUCUUGCUCUCUGCCCUGGUAAUUAGCUUCAUUUUUCAUUUUGGGUCUCCUGAUCAUUCAUCUCCCAUUGUCAAAUAUAGAGGAGAUUGAAAUCCCCGGCAUUCAGAGUUUCCGGGGAAACUGAAUAUUGGUGGUGCUCGGAUUCAAUGAUGGGGAGUUGAGAACGACGAACACAAAAAGUUUACAUCUUUCCUUUCUCUAUUACCUCAAGCUCAAGAAAGGCCUGGCGCCAAAUUUAGGUUGGACAAUCGUAGUAACUAACGGUGAGAUUGGAACAGGCUUUUUUACAAGUGUUUUAAACUUUUAUCCCCAAUUCAUCGGGCUUGGCUGGCAUACAAUUAGUGGUUGUUGUAAAUAGAUUAGGUUCCAAAUGCAAGUCAAAUUUAGUAUUUGAGUUUCAACACUAAACCCUUAAUCCAACUCGUUGCCUAACAAUGUGCAAGAAUCACUGUCCAAGUCAAAAUUUUGCCUUGCUGGGAUAAGGGAUCUAAGAACAUCUCCAAAAAAGAGAUAGAAAAACACAAUUGUACAAAAGCAACACCAUGGAAACGGUGUUAUGUCGUAAAGGUGCAACAAGUUAUUCAAGUUAUUAGAUUUGCAAAGGUCACCAUCUGUCCUCAAAAAAGGUCACAAACUGAUCUCCACUGUCCUGGUAUGGGAGGCAUUGACAAUAGAAUGAGAAGAACGAAAGAAAAGGGGAACAACUUACAAGCUAAUACUAAACAGAUGGUUGCUGGAGAAAGAAAAGAGACAAUGGCUGAGAUUAAUCCUCUACAUUCUGGGAAGUUCGAUGCAUUAUCUUGUCCUCCUUGACUAAUUCACAACCUGUAGCAGUGAUUUUUACAUCCUAAUACAGCGAAACCUAACUGCUGAUUUCCAUGCCUAUGAAAAGAAUGUAACCUGAACGGCCGUUGAAAUCUUGUAAUCAUAUUUACAGUGAAAUGGGAUGUGAAAUGAUUGAUCUGUAUCUAUAUAACAAGUCAUUAUCCAACUGCAGACUGGGAGCUGCUGCAUUACUCCUCUCGAAAUCUAGUCAAGUCAAAUGACAUGGUUUUGGAACAACUGCAAUAACAGCAGCACAAUUAGCGCGUUAAGAAACUAUAAUAUAAAUCCUCAAGAUAUAACCAUGUGACGUGCUCAAAUUCUUGUCUGAUGCUCACCUCAUGUCAGCGUCCCUGAAAACCCCAACCAGAGCUUCAGCCUUGUCAUAGAAGCUAUCUUUUAGAGAUAUUACAAUACUCUGAAAACCAUUGCCUCCUUCCGUAUCCUGGUUAACCCUGGCUCCUUGGCAAGACUUUGAACGGAUGAAUCGAGCAACUUUUGCUACAUUUAAGUUAUCCAGUGCAGCAUCAACUUCAUCCAGUAUGAAGAAAGGCGAAGGCCUAUAGCUGAAGCAUUCAUGAAAACAAAUGUGGAAAAACAAUUAAUUACAGGCUCUUAUCUACAGUGUAAAAGAGUAGAAACCAAAAACUAGAACAAAACUUUCGUAGUGGAACAGCGUACAUAUUGGUGAAAGGAAGACCAAAAGCCAGAAACUCCACAAUCCCCACCCAAAAAUAUUCAUAACUAUUGAAGCAUGUGCUCUAUGUAUCUACUGCAAGGCCUACCCAGAAUCUUUUGUUCUUGGAUGUCUUUAAAGGUAAACACUAUAUAUGAUUAACAUAUACCUGUGUAUGGCAAACAGUAAUGCUAAUGCUGCAACAGUUUUCUCUCCGCCAGAUAAUUGUUCCAUAUCUCGAAAGCGCUUUGUUGGGGGCAUAGUAGUGUACUUGACGCCAUGUAGAUAUGGAUCAUCUUCAUUUUCUAAAUUCAAAUAUGCCGUCCCACCAAGUGGAUGUGUAUUGCUCUUCGUCAGUUGCUUGUAUAUCUUAUCAAUAUUACUAGAAAUAUGGUUGAAGGCAUCCAUAAACUUCUCAUACCUGCAUUGACCAAAUAAACCAUUACAAUCAAAUGUCAGGGAAAAAAUAGAAAUCAGUUGCGUAGUGGGCAUAUUUGUCACUUACGUGAUGAUUUCUUUCACUUUCUGUCGACAGUAAACAUUGACCAUUCCUAUUACUAGUUUCUAUCCAUAAAGUUUGUCUUACGAAACCCAAUAAUGUGCAAUCAUGUAUAGUCAACUACAUUAUGAUAAUUAGACAAUCCAGUAGCAGUGUAAAAGCAAUCAAUACCUGCUUUGCUUAACCGAGUUAAACAGAUCAGCCUUUUGCUUCUGUUCUUUUCUGGCCACUUCAAACUCUGCAGUUAUAUCUCUUUCCUUUUCUUGUAGAGCCUCAUAUUGGUCCAUGGCCUUCAAAUUGGGAGCUGUUCUUUCUAUUUCUGAUAGCUUGGCAUCCAUUUGUUUCUUAAAGUCUAACUCGACUUUCUCCCGCUCAGAAGGCCUCCUAUCUCUCAAUAGAGACUCAUCUAACUCAUCAAAAUCAAAUACUGGGCCCGUUGUGGAGGAGUCAGUCUCCAUUGGAUCUGAGAUGAUAGGAAGGCUUAUUUGCUGAAGUUCACAAUUUUCUACUAUCUCCUGCUUCCGAGAUGUUAGCUGCUCAAUCUGAGUUUCCUGUAAGGCACGAAAAAAAUGUUUAGGGAUUCAAAUUAACAUGGUACAGAAGUGUCGCAAACAAAACCAAAUGCCAACCUUAGAAUUUAUCUGUCGAUUAAGUUUGGAUACAUUUGUUGUAGCAGUAGAACCCCGCUUGUUCCAUUCUUGAAUUUCCUUUUCACACCCUUCCGACUUGGAUUUCCACUCUACAUUAAUAGUGAGAGAUACAACUUUAUGAACUAAAAAGAAAGGAUAAAGUGGGUUUGCGACUCGUUUGAACAACUUGGGAAAAAGACAGAAAAAGAACAACAACCAUGAGAUCAAGUCCCGCGCUCAAGGCCUAAAAUCUGAGAAUUUAAGUUCUCCAAAAAAAAUACAGUACCAUGCCGAACUUUUAUCAUACCUUGUGCAUCUUCCUUCAACUGCUCAAUCUCAGCAGAGGCUUUUUCAGCUGCAGAGUUGGCUUCAAAUUCUUUCUUUUGAACCCAUUCUAAAUCUUUUUGUAGAUUACUAAUAGAUGAUUGGAGUUCUUCAAUUCGUGUAGCCAUGUCCCGAUUUUGCUCAUACUCUAGCCUGAAAGCAAACAAAGACCAGUAUUUUACCAUAAAAUAUGAGCAAGUGCCAAAGCUGUCAUACAACAAGUACACCAGAAACAAUAGUGGUGAAACUGGGCAGAUUGUUUGGGUUUGAUAUUUGAGUACUUCAAUAGAACCUGUGGUCAAUCUAAAAAGUUAAAACAAAAUUUUCAAAGACUUUACAGCCCUACAAAGAACUUGUAACUGGACAGCGUCAAACAUCUCUCAUCUUUAGUGAUCACUGCUUUCUAAAAAAGUCGUGUGAUAAUAGACACGACAGCGUUCUUUAAAGAUGAUCAAGACACAUCAAAAAGAAUAUAUGGUGGGGAGCGAGGAAAACCAACUGACUAAUUGGCCCAAUACUUGUAGUUGGUUGUUUCCUCAGUCAAAGUACUUGUAGUUCAUCAGAAUGUUAAAGCACAAUUUGAAGAUGCAUAAAUGCAUGCACAUUCAUACAAUAGUGUGGGAAUCAAUGAUCAAGUUAUAUAUCACAUAAUUCAUGCAUGUGUCCAACAUAAUAUACACAACUCACAUUCCACUGUAUGCCCAAAAUAAAAUAAUUACCAACAUACAACAGUAAAAUUGACAAAAGAUAAAAUAUAGGGAAGAACAUACUGGUAUUUCAAUUUUGAUAGCUGGCUACUCAAACUAAGCCUCUCUUCAGCCAUAGAUUGGGAAACCUUGAGUUGUUUUUCUUCAUACUCACGAAUGUUAUCUACCCCAACAGAUUUACUAAAGCCUUUGUAGAGUCUGUCAACAAUAUCAUUUAUCCUCUUCUCAAGCUUAUUGAUUUCUGUGCUCCGCUUAUCUACAGCUUGUUUUAGCUGCAAUCAUUUUUAAAACUGCUGUGUGAAACAAAAUGCUAGAAUAAGCUAGAGAAAACAGUAAUCAGGGAAAUACCUUCAGAAGAUCAGGACUGAUACGAUCAAUCUCUUCUUUUAUGUUCUGCCUCUCCCGCGCCAAAUUUGCAAGUUUGUCCUUGAUGCUUUUCUGUGAAAAAACUCAUCUUAGUUUUGAAUCCACUAGAAGGAACCUCAUGUUUAGCUUAAUUAAGAUAUAUCAAAGUAAAAGACUGAAAAACUAUUCACCCACCCUCCCACACCCAAAGCACAAAGGAAAAACUAAAAUAGAAUAAAUAGCAUUCAUCUCCACUUUAUAAUUAAAAGACCAAUACCAACCCUUCCCAUCAAGUCUAAUUCAUCUUAUUUGAUAAACCACACACAAGUGACACAACCAGACAUAAAACAGCUUCAAAGUUCAACCUGCAUCUUCUAGAUUUGGUGUCUGGGUAUGGAUAUAAAACUACCUUACCUGUAGAAUAGGAGUGAAAAAAAAAAGAUACAAGUAAAUCCUUGCAAUUACCUUCUCAAUAUCUGCAUAUUGGAUUUUCUUAUCAAGCCCACUAAGUCUGCCAGCUGUUUCAGACUCUUUUAGCUGCAUCUCUCUAAUUGACCCAAGCUCUUCUAGCUCCAACUCAAACUGUUCUUUCUUCUUCUUCAGUCCUAAACAACAAACAGUUAAACCACAUCAAAAAUUACCAGACCAAAAUUCAAAUGACAAUACAGCAAUUCAAAACUCACCUUCGACUUUUUUAUCAUCCCACUGUUUUGACCUAGCUUCCAUUCCUCCACUGGUACCACCAGUCAUUGUGCCAGAUUUUGACAGCAUAAUUCCAUCAACAGUUACAACUAAUUAAAGGGGGAAAGAGAAAAAAAGUUAGAUGCUGGCUAAAUAAAAACAUGCCUGACACAGAUACUUAACGAUAACAAAGUUGAACGCAUUACCUUUGAACCUCUCACCACUCCAGCUUAGGCGCUUAGCCUCAUCAAGUUCGUCACAAACGAGAGUAUUGCCAACCGCAAAGAGAAUAGCCUUCUCCAAGGCAUGAUCAAAUGUAUGGUUGUUAAGUAGACAAACUAAUAGCACCUCUUCGUAGAUUCUCAUGCAGAAAAUAGUUUUCUUACAAACAGAAAAACAUACAAGGAAUACAGGCAACAUACAUCAAGGACAGUACAUAGCAUAGUGAUCAGGAGGAUGAUCUAAAACAAUAGCUAACCACGAAAUGAUGAAGGUGUGAGCGUGCUUCUAUGCAUUAACAUGUUCCAUCUAAAUAAAUGCAGAGACGAUACUAAUCUGGAUGAUUAUACUCAAACUCUUUGUGGGAGAAAGCCAGAGGAAUGAUGAGUUACAUGAAGAAAACUUGUGCCAUAAAUGGAAGAAAAGAAUGAGAACAGAAAAUCAUCCAAGUUGAAAGGGAAAAGAAUUAAAUAAUUUUUUUUAAAAAAAUCAACAAGAAUAAAACACAUAAUGGGAUCCUAAUGCAAGUCUAUAAUAGAACACAAGUUGUUCAAUUUUUUUAGUUAUUUAAAAGUUCCAUAAUUUCUUCUAGAAAAAUAUAUGUUUUCGAUAACCAGAGUUCCACUACCCAAAAACAAUAAUGCACCAGAAAUUAGCAGCACUAACCGGCCCAGAUCAAAGAUACUCUCUUACUGCAUAUGAUGGAAAACAUGAAAAUGUAAUACAACAUAUAUAUACACACACAAAAAUAUAUGUAGUUAUGUAUAUAGAUCAAUCACACAUAACAUCUCUGCCUAUUUCUAUGCAUACAAAUAAAGAGCUAUACAAUGUGCACUACACACAUCCUUUUCACACAGACAUGCAUGCAUGCAGACAAACACCAACAAGAUUACACAAAAAUGUAAAUCUUCAACUACAGAGUUCGGAACAAACAAAAGUUUGGACACUAAACCAAUGUAGGCUUUUGUAGAAGCAAAUAUCAAGAAAAUAACACAUAGAUUUUAUUUGAUCUCUACUGUACCGUAAGAUGAUAACCAUGACAAAGAAUUAUUGAAUUUUUGCUCUCAAGAAAGCAUGAUGAAAGGAUAUUGAACAACAUCAAAAACCAGCUUUGCAGUACCACCCAAGUUACGCAGUCUCUCCAUUACUUGCUUUACACGAACAGAUUGGAGAGGUAUGAAUGUCUGAGGAGGAAGCCUUUGUUCUUUCAAAUACUGCAGAAAUGCAAGGAUCAGUAUCAGAACCGCAUUCACAUGAAUGAUAUAAUAUUCAAACUUUGUCAACAUAUAUUUCACAUUGGUACCCCAAGUAAUCAAUAAAACUGUCCGUAUCAUUAGAUAUUUCAAUAUUCAAACACACAAAAAACCAACAGACUCAAACAGGAUAAGAGAAAGAAAAAAAAUUAAAUCUCUUGAUUUUCCUAUAAUCUAUUUUCUUUAUUUUUAUUCUGAUUGCCUUGCAACUACUGUGAUGUGAAUAAUCAUUAUAAAAAUUGAGAAUUUAAAAUCUUAAUUUUACCAAUGAAAUAAGGAAGGCAAUCUUAACAAGCUAGUGUAAGCAUUCUACAAGAGCGAAAAGAUGAGAACAUAUAUCACCUUGAUACACUCCUUUCCUGUUUGUUCAUCUUCAACUACGACUGCAUCCAUAAAUUUUCCCAUGGCAACAGUGACAGCAAGAUUAUACUUCUUUUGUGUUGGCCUACAGAGUUCAGUCAUGCGACCAUGGACACCCUGAAACAAGCGCUUGAGAGUCUCUACUGCCUGAGACAACCUGGAAUCCCUCUCAUUCUCAUAUCUAUCGGCCUUCAGUUCACGUAAUUGCUUCUCUAAUUCAUCAAUUUUUGACUUCAAAUUUUCAUACUUCUGUCUGUAUAUCCAUAAAAAGGAUAAUAGUAAACAUACAAAUCAUCACAUUUUGCUAGUGUCUUGUAAAAUAAGUAAAUAACAACCUAAAGAAGAGAAAAGAAUGGAGAAAUUUAAUCAAAUGAAUAAAGGGGAAUGAGAAGCACCAGGCAACACAUGCCAAAACCUUAGCAGAACGUAUGAAUGACUCUUAAAAAGCAUAAAUUUAAAAAAUAAAAAUAAAAAAAAGCAAGCAUACAAGCAAGUUGAAUAACCUGGCAUUCUGAUGUUUAUCCUUCAUCACAAGCAAUUCAUUAUUCAGACUUUUUACUUCCUCUCUGUGUUUUGCAGAGUUAUCUUUAAUGUUUUUCAGCCUUGUCAGCAUUUGCUUAUUCUGUGAAUCCAGUUCACUCUCCCUACUUCUCAACUGUUCAAGAUUUUCUUCCAAAUUCUUUUGAGCUUCAAGAUCAGCAUGCUGUUGCCGAUCCAGAACCUCUUUCUCAUCUGUUAGCUUCGCAGUUUUCAUCCCAGCAUCCUCCUUCCUGUGACAUCAGCAUACCAUUAAUAUUUACAAAGCCUAUCAAGGAGAGCCUCUAAAUCCUAAGUUAUAUGGUCCAGUGAAGGUAAUUUAGAAAGUUCAUGAAGAUCGAAAGGUAGGCAGGAAACUGACUUCAAUUCUCAGCUCAAAAUUGAAAAGUAACAUGGCUUUUGGUUAAAGAAACAGAACUUCAUCUUUAAAACGUAAGGAAUGGGACACUAUCAUCACACUGAGAUGCAGUAAUAAAAUUAAACAGAGAUUACCAAACACUUACACUUUAAAAUAUUCCCUCAAUUUAGUAUCGUCUAACUGUAAUUUUUCACCACCGUCUCGUCCUUUUUCAUGUAAAUCCUCUAGUUGAGUGGUCAAAUCUUGGAUGCCCUUCUGCAGCUUUUUAAUUUCCUCUUUAUGUCUCUCCCUUUCUUUUUCUUUCUUACCAAGCUCAGUCUUACUUUUCUUGAUUUUUGAAUUUAUACGAGACAUUUCCUCUUUCAGUUUCAGCAGCUCUGGUUUCUACAAAUACGAAACCACAUCAAACAAUUCACUGUAUGUCCUCUUGAUCAAGCAUAAGAUCAAUUAUAUUUACAGAAAAGUAAAGGCCAUUUAUUUUAGAACGUCAGCAAAACUAGCAAUAUAACGGAAAAAAAUUCACAAGGACCCGUUCAUUCACCCACAGCAGCUAUACGAGACAGUCAGAUACUCUUAUAUUAUAUAUGUAGGUUGAACGAACACGGUUUCGCUAUAAUAAGUAAAAAUGUAAAGAUUUAUGUUAUAACUUCUCUUAAGCCUCGGUCAUUUGAGGGUCUAACGGAGACCAACUCAGUAACAAAAAAGCAAAAUGAAACUCAUGGUAUUGGACACAACUAUCAAUGAAAUUUCAAUCUUCUGUCCAAGGCAAAGAAACUCACGCUUUUGUCGAGUUUAUUACUUCUCUCGGCAAUCUUCUUCUCACAUUGGGCAAUCUCUUUUAAGUACUUGUUGAGUUCUUUCUUCUUUUUGGUUGCUUCUUGCUGAAAAUCAUCUAGUUCUUGCAUAACCUGUUCACGGUUUCUCUUUUCAGCUUCAAGCUCAUUAGUCGUUUUUGUUAUAUCUCUUUCUAUGUUGAACAACUGCCACAAAAAAUGUUCUCUCUUCAAAGAUUUCUGCAAGAAAGAAUACAUGUGAUUUUAGUAUUACACAGAAUCAAAGUUCUUAAGCAGAAGAUUCAAAGACAGGAGCAUACACCUAUUGAGCAUGUAAAAGAAACAAAACGUCAAUACCAAAAUAGUCUACAGGGAUAAGAGUUUGAUAUAUUAAAGACAGAUCCUAUAUUAGAUUUAAUCUACAUGUGUGAAUGCACACAACCAUGUGGAUGCAAGAUUCAUAGUGUGUGCGUAUUUGCGUGUGUGCGUGCAAAAGAGAUAAAAGGGAAAUGCAAUAUGCGAGACCCUCUUUCCUGAAAGUGAGUUCCUAGUAUCUACAAUAUCUUUUAAAGUUACAUGAUAUCUUUCAUGCAGGCACUUGUACAAUUAAUUACAUAAUUUCACCCAACACGGAUAAUUGAAACAAGCAGGAUAGACAUACGAACAACCCCGAUAAACAUAAUAUACAACAUAUGCAUAUUAUUGUGUGCAUAUAGACAUAUGUAACCAUUAACCAGUAAGCACGGACCAAGUAUGUGUAUAAAUAUAUAUACACACACACACAGCAAGUACGUGUAUAUGUAUGUAAAUAGAAAAAGAACGUUGAGGUACAAACCAGUUCAUUUUGCAGGCGAAUAUGCUUCUCAGCUUCUUCCUUUUGCUCUUUCUUUUGCUUCCUCUCCGCUACUAUGGUCCUCUUUUUCUGAUAAACAAGUGCUGCUUUUUCUUCAGCUAUGCCUUUCUCUUCUUCGUACUUUUCAUAGUCUCUCUUGAAGUCAUCUGACCCUGAGAUCUGCUCAAGCAGUGCAGUGAGUUCCUUAGGAUUUUUAGAGGCAAUGGACUCCACAUCACCCUACGGAGAAAGAAAUAAUCAGUAAUUAAAAGUGACCCGGUUACUGCCAAGAUAUGCAAACAUCAAAGUCACCAUAAAAGCAGCAGUCAUCUAUUUGUCUAUGAAAAAUAAUGCAAAUGAGUAGAGAUUGCACGGUUAGCAACUUCUGUGAAUUCUCGUUUUUUCCCUUUUAAUUUUGGUUUGGAUGAACAUGUUUCCAAAUUUAAUAAAGAUGUUCCAACGCGUCACUACACCGGAGUGCCCAAAUAAGAGUACACAGAGCCUGAAUUCAACAAUGGGUGGCAAGACAUUUACGUUACCUAACCCAACACCUUCAACUUCGCAAACGAAAUGUGCAAUUGGCGUCAGAGACAUUUUCGAUAUUCAAUAAUUAACUAACGCAAGGUGUGGCCAAUAAAUGUCAUUGAUGUACCUUCUCAUUCUAUUCUCAUUCAAAACCUCUGCUUCUUAGCAAACAUACUCCCUAAAGCAUAAUCAAUGAAAACAAUUCGACAUAGAAAAGCUAAAUUACGAGUAUCAAGUAAUCGAAAUCAACCUGAAAAACAAGAAAAUUGCGGGCCUUGACCAGAAUUCCCAACGACUUAAGCUUCUCAGUAUAAGUAUCCGCCGUCACCGACCUGCCGUCGAUGCGGUACUCACUGCCGCCGGAGCUAGUGAUGGCCCUGGUGAACUGGAUCUCGGACUCAUUGGCAAGCUGAUAAACCAAGGUCACGAACGCCCGGCGUCCCUUCUCGGUCUUCUCGCUGUCGUCCAUGGCGUAGAUCAGGUCCUUGAGCUGGGACCCACGGAGCUGGCCGGUCUUGACGCCGAGGACGAAGCUGAUGGCGUCCAUGAGGUUGGACUUGCCGGAGCCGUUCGGGCCGAUUAUGGCGGUGAAGUCGGAGAAGGGGCCGAUGACCUGGUGGCCGCGGUAGGACUUGAAAUUCUCGAGCUCGAGGCGGUGGAUUUUGCCCUGGGAGAUGAAGGACGGCAUGGCUUAGGGUUUCGGGGAGUUUGAAUCGAAGCUAGGGUUUGGGGAGGAGGUGGAAUUGAGCGGAGUAAAGGAGAGAGGAGAUGAGGGGAGGGGUGGCCGGAGAGAUGAGGAGGGGAGGUUUCCGGCGAGAGGGGAGGGAGGAGUGGAGGCGGAGAGGAGGGGAUUGGGGAUUUUGAGGUGGGAAUUGGCGGGAGAUUGGGGGAGUUUUGGGGAAUUUUAGGGAGGGUUGGUGAUUUGAGUUGCCAUUUUCGAAGUGAGAAAAAGUAGGAGACCGCAAAGAGUGAGCGCUUUAGUAGAGAGUCGAAACGUUUCGCUUUGGGCAAGAGAAUGCUAUUAUUUUUAUUUGCAGUUUAGUCCUUAAGGUUUUCUUUAUUUUCGUUUUGGCCGCUAGUUGGGUCAAGAUUUUACUUUUUUCUUCUUGUCUGAAUUCAAUAUGUGGAAAUUCAGUAGUUAGUUUCUUACCUUUCUGACUUUAAUCUUGUUUGAUCAAAACAAAAAACAAGCUCUUAUGAACUUUCAAUAGUCUCAUAAUAAUGUGUAUCAAUGAAGAAUGAAUCUAAAAAGGGGAUCAAUAGCUACUUAAAUUAUUGUUAAGAUUAUAUGAUAUGAUGUUAGAUUAUAGAAUCAUAUCACAAUAAAAAAUUGUAAUUUAAUAUUACUUGGAGAAUCAAUAUAUAAUCUUAAUUUUAGCGUAGAUGGUUAUUGUCUUUAUUGAUCCACCCAAAUCGAGAUCUAGAAAGAUGAAUGUCAAGGAGCUUUGGGGGGAAACUGGAAAGUAGGGGAUUGGCGGGAGAUGAAAUUUGUAAACUGCAGAAUAAAACUGCGAUAAUAUAAAAUUAUGAAGAAUGGGCUUUUCUAUUCAAAAAAAAAAAUUAUGAAGAAAAAAAUUACCAUGGUCAAUUGACUUUCCUAACAAAAAACAUCACAAAAAAGGUGCAACCAAGGCAAAGGCUAUGAAUAGGGAACAAAUCAAGUUGUCAUUCUACUUUCAUAAUGACAGUACGUCUUUAUAUCGUUGCGGUACGGUUCUUGCACUCGGGAAUUUCCAACAAGGAAAGCGAAGAGAAACCGGCAUAUAAGUGAGGAGAGAAUCCAGAACAUAUACUACACCAGAGAACGGUACAUAGACAUGUCAAGUAAGGCAAAGAAACUACUCAUCUGAAAAUGAAAAACAGAAAAAGACAGUAGCAAGAUGCACAUACAUAAAAAGAGUUUAGCAGAAGGGGCUUAUAGAAUGGAGACAGCUUCCACAAAAUAGUUUUGCCCCCACCUGAAGUCCACAUUCCAUGCUUAAAAAGUACCGAGUAUGAUUACAGAAUGGUUAAUUACUCUGAACAACAAUCAAAGAAAGAGACUCCUAAUGGACAAGGAUAUCCUGCUAGUAAGAAGUCAUCUGGAUGGAUGAAGCUUCAUCAAUGACCAACUUUUUCACUGCUAGACGAAGUGCCGUCUUGUACAGAAUCCGCUAUUUUGGUUUCACUAGGAGUUCCCACAGGCGCAGAUGGGAUGACUUCAGAAUAAAUGGAAUAUUCAGGCAGUAUACCGCCACGGUUUUGGAUGUCAUCUAAAUCCUCACGCUCAGGGGGGUUUGAGUUUCCUGGCAGUUCUCCAUGAUUUUGAGCCGGCACUUCUGGCACCUCAGGUCUGGUGGCAUCCGGAUUUUCAAGCUGUUGGCCUCCAGAGUUUUGGGAAGCUUCCAACUCCUCAUACUUGGAAAUAACUUGUUGAAGUUCUUCAUGAAGAUAUAGAGCCUCAAAGAGCAUACUUUCAUCAUCAGUAGUGGUUUCUAUAAUCCUCUGAAUAACAGGCUGAGACUCCUUGCACUUUUCCAGCAUGUUCAUCGUUAGUUCUUCCUGCAAUCAAGCAAGCAUUUCCACCAAGUUACAUAUCAUCUUCCGCUCACAAGUUGAUCUUUGGAUUAGGUAAAAUAUGGAAAAAUAAUCGUAGGAAAGGUCAAAUACUAUCUAGAAGAAUUAUUAUCAUGCAAUAUAUAAUCAUAUAGGAUAACAGCGUACAGGCAAACCUAGCCAUAGAAGAAUUACAACCGCUCUCCCUUACGGUCUGUGCUCAUAGUCAUAAUGCACGGAACAUGAAAAUUCUUCAACCUGCCCUAUAUUAUUUCUAUCUUCCUUUUAUAUACAAGGGAUAUGUAUUCUUCAAUAAUAUUUUAUAAAAGUAUUUUGAAUAUCCGGAUGCUUUAGAAUAGAAAUUUGUCAGUGAUAAGGAAGCAAAGCACUUAGUUCUAUCUCAGUAUUGAUUCCAGAGAAAUUUACACACACACACACACACACAUAUAUAUAUAUAGGAAUUAGUAUUGAUUUCCACAGAGAAGUCAGAAACACACCUUCAAAGGUUUCGGAUCUGUUUCACUAUUCAAAAUACUAGACAGCAACUCCAGGCUAUUGCGAGCUACAACAAGACAUUCUUUUUUUUCCUCGACUGAUAGGUAGUUAUAGCGAAAUUCACGGUCACUUGCAUCAUGAAAUCCUGUGACUGGUACAGGGUAUCUUUCCGGGGGAGGCAUAGGCUCUUCCAUGUAUGAUUCCAAGGUAGAUUGCAACGAGGGCGAAGUCCCUUCUGGUGCCACUGGACGUGCUCCUCUUUCUCUCAAUGUCUGUAUAACACCCAGAGAUAUAAUAAGGACAUCAAAUAUUACUUCAAUGGAUGAAAACCAAGAUUACUACAAGAAGAAAAUUCCAUGGUCCACAGAAGACAGGCCAGAAA
This 30557-nucleotide long non-coding RNA is filed under the name Fragaria vesca (wild strawberry). RNAcentral describes it as "long non-coding RNA (FVES_LNC000569)". The record is from RNAcentral. Lineage: Eukaryota; Viridiplantae; Streptophyta; Magnoliopsida; Rosales; Rosaceae.